AUAUCAGUAAGCGGAGGAAAAGAAACUAACAAGGAUUCCCGUAGUAACGGCGAGUGAACUGGGAAUAGCUCAAAUUUAAAAUCUGGCCUUUUCGGGUCCGAAUUGUAGUCUAAAGAGGUGCUAUCUUGAUCACUGUGUGCGCACAAGUGUCCUGGAAUGGGCCAUCACAGAGGGUGAGAAUCCCGUUUGGGUGCACAUCACGUGAUCAUAUAUGAGGCACUCUCUAAGAGUCGAGUUGUUUGGGAAUGCAGCUCAAAAUGGGUGGUAAACUUCAUCCAAGGCUAAAUAUUGGCAAGAGACCGAUAGCGAACAAGUACCGUGAGGGAAAGAUGAAAAGCACCUUGAAAAGGGAGUUAAACAGCGC
This 364-nucleotide ribosomal RNA is filed under the name uncultured fungus. RNAcentral's name for it is "eukaryotic LSU rRNA". It matches the Rfam family "Eukaryotic large subunit ribosomal RNA", at positions 40 to 398 of the family's 3401-position model. Lineage: Eukaryota; Fungi. The record is from RNAcentral.